Molecule: long non-coding RNA, 7885 nt
Organism: Orcinus orca (killer whale)
Lineage: Eukaryota; Metazoa; Chordata; Mammalia; Artiodactyla; Delphinidae
Exons: 4
Source: RefSeq, a predicted model, not a curated record
UGAUGGGUGGGGCUGGGUACCCUCCCUGUUGGUUCUUUGGCCUGAGGCAACCCAACACUGGAGCCUACCUGGGCUCUUUGGUGGGGCUAAUGGCGGACUCUGGGAGGGCUCAUGCCAAGAAGUACUUCCUAGAACUUCUGCUGCCAGUGUCCUUGUCCUCACGGUGAGCCACAGCCACCCCCCGCCUCUGCAGGAGAUCCUCCAACACUAGCAGAUCAGAAAUUAUUUUCCCUCUUGGAUCCUGUUCGUACAUCUUAGGAGAGGAACAAAGAACAAACAUCGGCUCUGGGACAGACUACCUGGGUUUAAAGCUGGGCCCUACACCUUCUCAGCCACAGGACCUGGGCAAGCUCUUCAGUCUCCAUGCCUCUGUUUCCUUAUCGAUAAGAUGGGAGAAUGACUGUAACUCUCACUGGGCUGUGAAGAUUCAGUUAAACUACUUAUAAUAGUAUCUGGCACACAGUAAGGAUGAUAAUGGUGAUGAUGGUUAAACUUGUUUUCAAUCCACUGCCUAAGUGAACAGUAUAUAAAGAAAAGUAAAUAUCGUGCCAUUUGAAAGUAAUCACUGACAUAGCUGUAUUUCUUCACCGAAGUCACAUUUUGAACUCUUAAAGGUCUGGGCAAUAUGUAAAGUGAAAGGGGAAAGAUUGUUGUAUCUUCUAAGAAAAUCUCCAGCAACAAAAGCUUAUCCCUCUGUUUAAUCAUACAUCAGUUGAGAAUUUUUUGAAACAGCCCUCCCCCGCCCUGUAAAGAAGGUUACAAUGAUCCCUAUGGUUCUGGAUUAAGGUCAGAGUUAUCAAUAUGAACUUAUGUUUAUCUUAAUAUAGAUACAAAUGGAUACUUACAGAAAUAAUUAUAGAUAGGUGUGUAUGUAUGCUCCUGUUAGCAUACAUACAUAUACUUCCCAGCUCUGUUCACCCAGAGGGCCUAGACUCAAUGACACCCCAGUAGCAACGAGCACACCAAGCCCAGAUCUUGGUUUCUAAAUACCCUUCUCCAGUAAAAGGAAUGAGGGCUGCCUGGAGAAAUGGCUGAGUCUAGGGUUGUAGCCUAAACCGUCCAAGAUGGGCCUGGAACAUCUUAUUGUGUCAGAAAGUAAGGAAGUACUCAAAACCCAAAAUGAUGCGUACAUGUUAAAGGGACACAGGUGCCGAAAGAAAGAGCUCCCAGCGGCCAAAGUGGGAGCAAUUUGGGUAACAAAUUAAAUGACACAAUACUGCAUUAUAACUUAAAGUAUAAAAUAAAUAUCCAUACGUCCACACUGAUAUAAGUAAAUGACUGAAUAAAUAAAAUGGGGGUGAGACAAAUUUCAUCAGCAGAAGAAUUACAAAUAAUUUAUGUAGGGACUCCUCCCUCGAGGCAGCGGAGGACAAUCAUUACCCCUUGAGUGAGGGCUGGGAACAGGGGCUGCCUUCCAAACAGCAUGGUAAGCAAAGCCGGGGAGGGUAACUUUACAGUCACCACCUCAGCCAGGUGAUCAAGGUCAGUAUCAUCAGGGAUGACAAAUCAUGUUGAUAACAUGAACCCCUGCUAUGCUUAAUUAAUAAUAAAGUAAUGAAAAGAGCACUUCACCCCUGUGGUCUUCCUCCCUCCCUAAAACACAAACCCUCAGUCUAAUCAUGAGAAACACAUCAGGCAAACCCCAACUGAGAGACAGUCUCCAAAAUAUCUGACUAGUACUAAAAACUGUCAAGGUCAUCAAAAACAAAGGAAGUCUGAGAAAUUGUCCCAGCCCAAAGGAUCCUAAAGAGACAUGGCAACUAGAUGUAAUAUGAUAUUCUGGGUGGGAUCCUAUAAUAAAAAAGGGAUAUUAGGGGAAAAGUAAUGAAAUCUGAGUAAAGUAUGGGCUUCAGUUAAUAAUAAAGUAUUAUACAAAGUAUAAUAAAGUAUAAUGUAGGUUUCUUAGCUGUGACAAAUGUACCACAGUAAUUAAUGUAAGAUGUUAACAACAGGGGAAACUGGAUAUGGGGUAUGUGGGAACUCCAUACUAUCUUUGCAACUUUUCUGUAAAUAUAAAACUAUCCUAAACUAAAGUUUAUUUAAAUAUUUUUUAAAUCGGCCAUAAAAAUAAACACUCCCCAACACACACAUGUAGAUUUGCACCCCAACACUCUCCUAAUCUCCACCAGACCACAACUCACACAUCCACACCCACACCCUACACUCUCAGGAAACCUUCCCUGGGGCCAACAAAUAUCACUUACAGAGAUUCCAGACCAUAUCAGAAGUCCAAGACCAUUUAUCAAGACUCAUGAGAAAGCUGUGAUAAUUAAGUCAGUGUAGUAUAGGUAUGAGGAUAGGUAAGUCGGCUUGUGAAACAGAACAGAGGGCACUAGAAACAGACCUGUGCACCCAGGACACGUGAUACACGACUGAGGUGGAACUUCAGCGGGGAGAGAAUGGACUUUACAACCAAGAGUGCUGAGACGACUGGAUAUCCACAUAGGAGAAACUAGGCAGCACACAUAAAAUCAGUGCCAAGUGACUUAAGGACAGACAGGAAAACAAAACUGUAAAGUUUUUAAAAGAUAAUCAACACAGUGGAAUAUCUUCAUGAUCUCGGGGGUGCAGAAAGAUUUCUUAAAUGAUUCGCCCUCCCUCGACCAUUCCCCCCAAAAAAACCAUAAAGGAAAAACUUGAUAAAUUCUCUUAGGUAGGAAUUACAGGCUUCUGAUGCUGUAAAAAUAUAAAGAGAGGACUUUCCUGGUGGUGCAGUGGUUAAGAAUCUGCCUGCCAAUGCAGGGGACACGGGUUCCAGCCCUGGUCCAGGAAGAUCCCACAUACCGCGGAGCAACUAAGCUCGUGCACCACGGCUACUGAGCCUGUGCUCUAGAGCCCACGAGCCACAACUACUGAGCCCACGUGCCACAACUACUGAAGCCUGCGCGCCUAGAGCCCGUGCUCCACAACAAGAGAGGCCACAGCAAUGAUAAGCCUGCACACUACAACGAAGAGUAGCCUCCACUCGCCGCAAAAGAGAAAACCUGCGCACAGCAACGAAGACCCAACGCAGCCAAAAAUGAAUAAAUAAAUAAAUAAAUAAAAAUUUUAAAAAUAUAUAUAAAGAGUGAAAAUACAAGACAUAAAUUUGAGAAGAUAUUUCAACACAUACCAUCAAAUUAGAUAGAUAGAUAGACAGACAGAUGAAUAAACAAGAUGAAGGUAAAUAUCCCAAGAGGAAAGGUGGCAAAGUCUUGAACAGGCUCUCCACACAAGACGAAACUUGAACGGCCAAUAAAUAAAAACAUGCCAACUUCCCUGGUAACUGGGGAAACGAAAACUGAAAUUCUUAUCAGAUCUCUCUCCACGCCCUGGCAUCUUACAGCACUAAGGGUGUUGAGUAACAGGAAGUCUCCUGCACUACCGGUGUCCUCUUUGGAAAACAUUGGCAUCACCUAGUAAAACUGAGCUUGCGCCCACCCUGUGACUCAGCAAUUAGACUCUUACACACCUGAACCUAAAGGAAUGCUAACACGUGGCACUAUGAGAUACGCAAGAAAUGUUCAAGAAGCAAUGCUCAUAAUAACAAGGCAGAAAUAACGCAAAUACCCAUCACCUGUAGGAUGGAUAGAUAAGUUGUGUUGCACUUAUCAAAUAGAACUGUGCACGGGACUUCCCUGGUGGUGCAGUGGUUAGGAAUCCACCUGCCAGUGCAGGGGACACAGGUUUGAGCCCUGGUCCGGAAAGAUCCCACAUGCCGCGGACCAACAAAGCCUGUGUGCCACAACUACUGAACCUAUGCUCUACAGCCUGAGAGGCACAAUUACUGAGCCCGCGUGCCUAAGAGCCCGUGCUCCGCAACAAGAGAAGCUACCACAAUGAGAAACCCGCGCACUGCAACGAAGAGUAGCCCCCGCUCACUGCAACUAGAGAAAGCCCGCGUGCAGCAAUGAAAACCCAACGCAGCCAAAAAUAAAUAAAUAAAUUUGUAAAUAAAAAUUAAAAAGUAAAUAAAGUGUAUUAAGACUGCCUUAAAAAAAAAAAGUGUACAGCUGUGGAAACGGACAAGGUACAGCUAACGUUUGUUGUGAUGAAAUCUCCCAGGCAUGUUGAGGUAAGAGACAAACCAUCAUAUAAUACACUCAGGGUUAUUCCAUUUACAUAAAGUUCAAAAACAGGCAAACCUAAAUCUAUUGUUUAGAUAUGCAAACAUGGGUGGCAAAGUACAAAGAAAAAAAGUGAUGGUUAUCACAAAAGUCAGAGCAGCAGUUACUUCUGGAUGGGGAGAAGGGGAUGUGAUUGAGUAGGUACAGAGCUGUUCAAAUUCAUAUUAUUCUUUAAGAUAUACGUAAGUGUUUUAUAGAUUCUUCAUUAAGAAUACUUGAUAACUGAAACAGAGCAAUUCCAGAUCCCUCUCUGGGGAGGUCAGUCUUCAGUUCCUUCCCUCCCACUUGGAUAAUAGCAGUAGAUGCAGGCUCAGCUGCUGCACAGCAUCAGAAGAAAGUAGAAACACGGGAAGGUGCAUCUCAGGGCACAAAACUCACAUUUUCACAGCGCAGACUACUCUGCUUCCUCAUCUCAAGUAAGGAAAAUGCUGGAGGUAUUAUUCAUUCAUUCAUUCAUUUACUUGUUUGUUUGUUUGUUUAUGCUGUGUCGCGUGGCUUGUGGGAUCUUAGUUCCCCGACCAGGAAUUGAACCCAGGGCCACGGCAGUGAAAGCUCUGAGUCCUAACCCCUGGAUUGCCAGGGAAGUCCCUGGGUGUGUUUUAAUACUUGCCAUGAUAUUUCCACACCUUGCACAGUCGUGGCUUUUGAUGUUCGUUGGCUUUUUUGCUUUUUAGUAUUUGGAAUAAAUUGGAUUUUUAUCAUCUAACAUCUCAAGUUCUGUUAUUUGGUUUGUAUAAUUUUAAACAAACUCUUAUACCCAUUUAUGGCCCACUGUCAAGAAUGGAAUGAGUUUUGGAGUCACACGUAAGAAGUGAAAGCAAUUCAUGUAUUCUUAGUAAAACAAUAUUUAUUUCCAAAUAUAUUUUUCAUCUACUGAAGACCUCAACUUUCUCCCCAAAACUUGAAACCACUGGUACCUGAUGAUUUCUGACUGGGUUGGCAUGUGUUUCAGGAAGCUGCACAGGGGGCACUGAGCCUGCAAUAUCCAGCUCUCACCCUGGUUUCCCACUCUAGAUGACACAGGAAAUUGCAAGAAGCCUUACUUGCUGAAGAAUCCAGAGAGGCUCCCACACCUACCGUGGUGUUGGCAGAUAGGUUCCAUUGCUUUAGCUGGUGGUGACUACAUGCAGCUCUGUGUUAAGAAGAAGCCUGAGACCACAGAGGCUCAGGAGAAGACAGAGCCAUGACUGAUGGGCAAUGGAGCCUGGGGAUGAGAGACAGAAGUUGGAGGCAGGACCUCGGGGGUUUGCCAUCCUGGCCCUGCCCACUGAGCCCAGACACUCGGCAUACUUUUAAGCCACUCACCACCCACCCAUCUUCUCCCCAUUCCUGAGGGCAGACGAUCAGGUAGAUAUUCUUGAUAUCCCCCCCCCCCUGCCAUGACACCUGUCAAAGGCCCUCCCACGCCCAUGCUUUUGUCCAUGAUCUUCCCUUCCUGGAAUUUCCUCCUACCCGACUCAUCCUGAACAGCCCAGCCUGUGACACAUUUUAUCCAUGAGCCUUUCCAAAUCACCGUCUGCAAUGACAGACUUUCCCUUUCCUGAAUCCCUUUGUCCUUCCUGCACCUUAACUUUGGAACUUUAUUAAACAUAGUCUUGUAUUACUCAUUAGAUAUUGUCCUCCCCCUGUAUAUCCCUCUUGGCUCCCCAAAUAGAAAUAAAUAGCUCUAAAAAAAUAUUUUCUUCUCUUUUCUUGUACUUCCCAUAGUACUUUGCUCCACACAGAACUACCAAAAGUUAUUUGCUAAUCGAAUAACUGAAAACUGGUAGAAUAAAUCGCCUGCCUCGUCCCCUAGCCUAGUUUCACUUCUGCCCCAGCUGCUCUGUUCUUGGAAGACGACCUCUACUCCAGGAGAAAAGCCUUGACUCAUCGGCAGCAGCCCAACCAAUCUCUCACAGUGAUUCUCUUGGAGACACCAGAAGUGUUGCUCCCUAAGGAUGUCAGGAGACCCCUAAGCUGGAACCCAUUAGAGGAAGGCCAAUGUCUACGUGAUCAAGAAAGGCAGGAAGAGUUCCUAAUCUGGAGAGGUCACAGGGGGGUUUGUGUACAGAGUCAAGAGUCCAAAAUCGGGAAAAGAAAACCAAGGAAACAGAACUGGAGCCUGCUAUGAGUUAAUCAGAGGUUUGAAGGAGAAUCGCAAAGGGAGUUAUGUCCUUGAUUCAAUAACAAGGAGAAUUUAAGAGAAAAAUCUAAGAGAGUUUUGUGUCUAACAAGAGAUCCACAUUCCACCCUUUAAACCACAACUACGGGAGCUGGAGAAGCUACAUUUGGACCCACUGAGGCCAAACCAGGGGGCGUGGGCUCAUGGGACAGUGACCCCAUGAUGUCACACUGGAAGCUGGAAGUAGCACUGGAUCAUCUCCCUUUGGGGAUGGAGUACAGAUAAGCAGACAAAGCAGAAUGUCUGCCGAGGAGAAUGCAAAACAGUGAAUUCCACCCUGAGACACGGUGUGGCUUCGGUGCCAGCGGCCAAACCAACACGUCACAGACAGCAAGCUGGACUUUUCCAGGAACCGCCCCUCUUCAAAACCACCCACCCUCCCAUUCUUGUGACUAUGGUGGGAGAAAUCAUCUGUCCCACCCACAUCCCCUCCCUUGGCCACAAAUGCUUUCUCAUGACGUGCGGCAAUCCUUUUAUGGCAAUGUAGAAACAAAGAGAGCGCCAGGCCAGGAUCUUUCUAGAAACUAAAGCUGGAACAUAUCAAAUACCAGAGCUAAAGGCACCCCUGUUUUUUUACCAUGUGGAUCCCAGUACCUUCCAAUAAACUCCCCUUUUUCCUGAAAUUAAUUUCAAUUGAGUUUCAAUCCCCUAGAGUCAAGAGUCCUAACUAAUUCCAUUCACGUUUAAAUCGUUUUCUGCUUAAAUUGUCAUCCAUUCGUUCUCCCAUGACACACAAGGCUUAGUUCACUGGAAGUCGCACCUUUAUCACAAUUCGAUGGUGUCAGGUGAGAGCAAAGGCUUUCUCUCAGCAGAGGCUGCCUCCACCCACCCAGCCCACCUCCUUCCCACGACAAAAGUUAAACCAUUCAUCUGGGAAUUCUGGACAAGCAGGCUGUUUCAGGAUUACAGGGCAGAAGGCAGAGAUCUGAACUAAGUCUGGGGAGUUUAAAGACCUGUCCAGCCCCCAGAAAAACAAACAAGUAAGUGGUGGUUAUGGCUGUUAUUAUAUACCAACCUGGUGCAAUGUGAUAGAAAGCUUCUGAAAUCCCAAACAGAGCAAUUUGGCAAAGCCCAUCUUAAGGGCUUUUGCGAGAUCUUUCCUGUUGUUCAUUACACUUUGGUUUAAUCAUGUUUGGAUUAGCAAAACCUGAAGCAUGUGUCGGUUGUCUUUACGAAAAUCAACUACUCGAAUUGCUGAGAAUUAAACUAACCAGGGCAUGGAGACAACACAAAUUCACUGUUUUCUUUUUUAUUUCAGCUUUAUUUAGUAAAAAUAGUUAGCUUAUCAGGCUAGAUAGAGCUAUCAUCACAGCUUUAGUCUAGGCAGACUGGGUCCCUACAAACCUCUCUCCUGGCAGAGGAAGUUCAACACCCAGUGUCUCUGGGGGAAGCCAGAAUGUUCACAUACGAUGCAUCUAAUUCAGAUCUUAGAACAAAACAGUGAGAUCAUAUAGACCUGGCUACAUCCUUAAGUUAAAGUCUAGAACUAAAACAAACAGGGACGCUGUGGAAAAUGUGAAGAAUUCUAACCCUCCUCACCAUAUGAAAAUGUUACUAAAAUGGUAAUAGUAGAAAUAAUGACAAAAACAACAGACAAGGUAACAAUAAACAAUAAUAA